This 350-nucleotide unclassified non-coding RNA is filed under the name uncultured fungus. RNAcentral describes it as "partial contains small subunit ribosomal RNA, internal transcribed spacer 1, and 5.8S ribosomal RNA". The stretch from base 1 to 73 matches the Rfam family "Eukaryotic small subunit ribosomal RNA", at positions 1759 to 1831 of the family's 1831-position model. The record is from RNAcentral. Lineage: Eukaryota; Fungi.
ACAAACUUGGUCAUUUAGAGGAAGUAAAAGUCGUAACAAGGUUUCCGUAGGUGAACCUGCGGAAGGAUCAUUAUUGAAUAAACUUGGUUAGGUUGUUGCUGGUCUUUCGAGGCAUGUGCACGCCUAUUCCAUCUUUAACCACCUGUGCACCUUUUGUAGAUCUGAGGAACUCGAGGAAACUCGGUUUGAGAAUUGCUGAGCGGGAAGCCCAGCUCUUCUCGUUAUCAGAUCUAUGACUUUAUAUACCCCAUAUGAAUGUAUUCGAAUGUUGCAAUUGGCCUGAGUGUCAUUAAAUCAAUACAACUUUCAACAACGGAUCUCUUGGCUCUCGCAUCGAUGAAGAACGCAGC